UGAUCAAGGGUGUUGUCUUGUGCUACAAACCUCGACAGCCAGAACAGGAAAUCAUCGCGUUCGUUGUGACAAACACGAAUCCUUUGUCGAUCCAUCAAUGUUUGAAGAAAAUACUGGUCUCCUACGCCAUGCCGAGGGUUGUCGUCGUUGGUGAGACUCCUCUACUAGUCAACGGCAAGAUCGAUCGACAACUCUUACUCAGAGACUACGCCAAGAAUUUCAAAAGUAAUCUGAAAUUACUGAGAACUGAGUCAAUCUGACUGAGAACGGGCAAUCGGAUCUUCUAUUGACUCAGCGAUUGUCCUUUUUUU
Daphnia magna is the source of this 311-nucleotide long non-coding RNA. RefSeq lists it as uncharacterized. The transcript is spliced from 3 exons. NCBI's taxonomy places the organism in Eukaryota, Metazoa, Arthropoda, Branchiopoda, Diplostraca, Daphniidae. The record is from RefSeq and is a predicted model, not a curated record.